CCUUGUACAGCGGGCCUGCCGGGCCAGGCUGGUCCUUGGCUUGGCUGCAGUCUCUGAUGCUGCUGAGUUUCACCAGAGACUGCUGAGUAAGGGGAGGGAAAGCUAUUGGCCUGCAGCGUGCUGAGAUCGUGGCCACACUCCCCCAGAGCAGCCAUGGAAAAAAAUCUUCCAUUGCAGACAACCCCAGCCACUGCUCCGACAGAGAUCACAGGACCAUCCACAUAGCCUGGACCUAAACUCUAGAAACUGCAACUGGCACCAGCCCAGCCCUGCAUCUGGCCUUCAUUUCUCAUCUGAAAAAUACAGAUACUCCAUUCAUCCCACAGAAGCCCAGACAUCAAAAAAAUGGGAAACAUUAUUUGCCUUCAGCAGAUUGCCUCCUUAUUGCCCUUGGAUUAUCAUGGAUGGAAAUGGAUUACAUCAGUCUGCUUCCCUGGAGAGUCAUGGAGCCUCUCUCACGUGUUUUGUUGGCCAAAGCCCAUCUGCCAGCAGAUAGUACCAAGCCAGCUCUCAGCAAGAACAGCUCUGUAAAGCUUGUUUACAAGAGUUCUAGUCUAAAAGUUUGACAAGAAGUACAAAUUUUAGUUAAAAAAUA
Molecule: long non-coding RNA, 595 nt
Organism: Cyanistes caeruleus (blue tit)
Lineage: Eukaryota; Metazoa; Chordata; Aves; Passeriformes; Paridae
Source: RefSeq, a predicted model, not a curated record